Molecule: long non-coding RNA, 1976 nt
Filed under: Sorghum bicolor (sorghum)
Lineage: Eukaryota; Viridiplantae; Streptophyta; Magnoliopsida; Poales; Poaceae
Description: long non-coding RNA (SBIC_LNC018145)
Source: RNAcentral
GGUUUCAAACUGGCGAACCAAGGUUAUGAACAUAUAGAUCUCAUGAAAACGAAUCUAACGCAAUUUGAACGGGUCAAAUUGGAGUUAAAACGAAGUUUUUAUGGCUAAAACAAAUCUAGUGGCAAACUUGUAAUUUGUGAAAACGUAUUUUUAAAAUUAACCGAGAAUUUACAUUUUCAAAUUCGGGUUACGUAUUGUUAGAGGAGCGCUUUGUACCGGGUUCUAAUUGCGAAGAAACGAGGGGCUCUUUAUCUAAUUUUACCUCGAAGGGGUAUUUCAAUAUUUGCCGUUGAUUUUAGAUCUGAUGGGUGGGAUCGAUUGGGAGAGAGUGAGGGCACCGACAGCGAGCCCGACGGCGGCGCCAUGGCCGGGAGGUUGUGCUCCUCGUCGGAGUUCAUCAAUAUAGUGUCUCCGAGUGUCCUAGGGCAAAAGAAAAUCACCAGGAGAAAGAGGAGACCGAGACGAACUCACCUAGGGCCUAUUCGGGGUCAAAGAUCGAUCGAGGAUGGCGUGCCGCAUGGAUUGGUGGACAGGGAGCCCCUGCAAGAGUUUGGCGUCGCAGAGUGAGCAUACCAAAGCAAAAAACAGAAGGCAGAAGGGUAAAAGGUCUAGCGGCUUCCAAAGAUCAUAACAGAGCUUGGCAUAGAGUUUUCAAUAACCUUGGAGCAACGCAAAGCUUUGACAACGGCGGCGACCUUCUUGCUAAUCCGGUGAAAUAGAUGUGAGAAAACGGAGUGUGGAGGAGGUGCCUAGGGUUUUACAGGAGCUCGGUUGUGCGCUUAAAGCAAGGAGAUCCUGGGGAAAUCGGGAUUAACCCGCUGCCGCUCGAGUCCGAGCAGGCCACGACGUGAGCAAGAUGGAAAGGGUGCCGCUGAUAGGCGGACCCUAGGGUUCAGCGACUCAAGGCGCGGAAGAAGGUGGAAGUGGGUCGGAUUUUGCGUGCGUGGCUAACGGGCCGAGAAGGGGGAAGCUGGGCCACGAGAGAAAGGUUGGGAGUGGUCCGACUGCGGAGCUAGGGCGCUGCUGCUGGGCCUUUAGGCCAAAAACGGUGAGAGGGAGAGGUUUUCUUUUUUUUUUCUUUUUCUUCCAAAAAGCCAUUUUGAGUCAUUUUCAAAGCCUUUUCAAAUCCAUUUAAAAUCAGUUUGACAUAUUUUAAACUUUUGUCAAAUACACACAUAUCAAUAAAUCAAAUGCAAAGGCAUGCAUGCUCAAACAUAUUUAUAAACUCCUAUGGUGAAUUUUGAUUUAAUGGAAAAAUAUUAUGAGCACAAAAAUUCAUAAAUAAAUUAUUUUCCAUCUAUUUCCAAAAGUGCAAAAUUUAGUGUGUUACACAUGGCCACUGCCAUCGUCACCGGUGGUUUCUAUGCUCUGUUUCUCCAUGUCGACGAAAAGCCAUCUGAUGAAUCUCUAGUCAUGGGAGACUGCGAGAGGGAUGAUAGAUGUGGUGAAGAAGUAAGGAAGAGAAUGACACAUGGGUUCCACAUUUCAUUCUCUACUAGGAUAGCUUUGGGAGGCCUGUUUUACAUAGGGUUGCUGAAGAAAAUAGAUAAGUAGGGGGGUCUAUUUUGGGUUGUAUUGCUGGAUGGGGGUAGUGGCAGGGUCGCACAUAUGCUUCUUGCACUGCAUUGGCGGGCCGAGAAAAAAUUUCUUUGCAAGCUACGAUUCUGACAGGAUGGCAGUAUCCAAAAUAGACUCAUGCAUGUAUGCAACUAGAUGCAAUUCUACCUAGAAUGGCCCAGCCAUGCAUAUGGUCCAAUCGAAAUCUUUUACUGUUUUAUUUACAAAAGGGAAAAAGAGGGGGGAAAAGAGAUAUAGGCGUAUGAGAUGAGAUCAUGCUUUUUGUUUACAGUAGGAGAGACAUGGCCCUGCUUUUAUUCUUUUGCAUGUAACGGAAUCACAAAAGAAUACGGUAACAUUUAUUCUCUCAUGCAUUGCAUGCAGGAGAUUUUGAAACCUAAGAGCAACUCCAACAGCUU